This is a long non-coding RNA of Daucus carota subsp. sativus, 506 nucleotides long. RefSeq lists it as uncharacterized. Lineage: Eukaryota; Viridiplantae; Streptophyta; Magnoliopsida; Apiales; Apiaceae. The record is from RefSeq and is a predicted model, not a curated record. The transcript has 3 exons.
CAUAUAUGUAUACCAUGUGAUGAGAACACAAUCUGAAUAAAUGAGAAUUUUGGGAAGAAAAUCUUCUUACAUCAUGAUAUCUGAUCAAGUACUGAAUAAAUUCUCAAGCAAUGAAGAAGAUGCUCCAGAAGCUUACGUUAAGAACGUGACUCAUCGCAAGGGGUGUGGGAAACUAUGAGUAAUUUUUCAUACAACUUUUACGGUGGCUAGAAAAAGAGGUUACAUCCAUAACCUCUAAAAUUUUUCUUGUUUGUUAUGGUCGUACAGUUUCAUAGCCUCAACAAUCUGCGCAGAAUGACCAAGUUGAUAAGGCUAUACCUCUGAUCACCAAGAAAAGUGUUGAAUAACUUAUUGAUCCAUUGCUUGCUGUUGUGUACGAUGCAGAGCAGAUAAAUCGCAUGCUUGCAGUUCCUUCUAUGUAGCUUAGAUUAGAUAUUUAGAUUAGAUGGAUGUGUAGUAGUUGAUCGAUAUUGGAUUUGAUGGAUGUGUAAUAGGUUAAAUUGGAA